Molecule: long non-coding RNA, 2222 nt
Organism: Myodes glareolus (Bank vole)
Lineage: Eukaryota; Metazoa; Chordata; Mammalia; Rodentia; Cricetidae
Source: RefSeq, a predicted model, not a curated record
UCUACUGUCCUUGGAGGCCAGAAGAGGGCAACUGAUUCUCUGGAACUGAAGCAAAACAACUGUGGAACAGCGUUGUAGGCACUGAGAACUGAACACCAGUCCUUUGCAAAAGCACUCCUCCAUUUUGCCUGUAUACAGGUAGCAGCCCUGUGUCGGCAUCUACACAGUUCCCUCCAUCGCUGCUGGAUAAUGACAGCCGCAGCUCGUAACUCCAAGUAUCGUUGUCUCUCUAAGUGAGCACGCCAGGAAGCUUGGAGAAGGGAUGCUGCACUAGCCAUAAUCAAAGCAUCUUUCUUCACAGUCGCAUUUCUGACGUGCUUCUGAUUUAGGGUCUCUCUAUUGUAGCUCUGACUGUCCUGGAAUUCUACGUAGACAAGCUGGCAGGCUGGCCUUUAAAUCCCAAGGUGUUACCUGCUAUUACAUUCAAGUAAAAUGGUUCUGGUUACUAAAUGAAGUCCAAACUCACUCUUAAACAAAGAAUCCUAGUCUCAUCCCACCUGGAUAAUAACAGAUGCCUGUCUCAAAUGGAGGAACUGUUGCCUAGAGAGCAAGACCCUAAACCACCGCUGCAAUAGUACGAUUCUGCGAAGCACUUCCUGAUGAAGCAGAUCUUGUAAGUGCUGUCGUUCAUGCUCCUUUAGGAAAACCUAUGAGACGGAAGAAAAACAAGGGAUAAAGCUUAAGAAGAAAUGAAAACUAUUCAUGAAUUAUUGUUUCUGGGCUUCCCUGAAAGCAACCACAGCUCUGAAAAAAGCUCGGAGAACUGCCCAUCGGAAAACAGCUACAGGAUCAAUUCCAGUCAUCCCAGAGACAAAAGCAUUCCUGCUACUUCUCAGAAGAGCCACAAUGUCUGGACGCAUAUGAUCUGUAUUUUUUUCCCGAAAAUCCUAUGUGAAAAAAGUACCAAUGAUUUUGUGGAAAAGACUAUCAAAAUCAAGAAGAUAAUAAGUGACAGGUUUGAAUGAUCAAGAUGUGAGUGAGAACUCAGCAUCUGCUCCAGCCGUCAUGCCUGCUGCUUCCCCACCAUGAUGAACUCUUAACUCUCUGAAACUGUUAAGCCCAAAUAAGCUUUUUCCUCUAUAAGUUGCCUUGGUGAUGGUGUUUUAUUACCACACUAGAAAAGUAACUACCAUAUCUAGCAAUAGGCUCAAGAUUUUUGCUUAGUUUUACUUUGUAAAUUAUAUCUAAACUCUGCUUCUCACCUGUGUGUUCCCUCUCAGAUAUGGUACCUCCAAUAGACUCCAUUAUUUCCAGCCAUAAAUCAUUCACUUAGAACAUCUAUAAAGUAUGUGGAGAUCUCCACAGUAUACCUUGUAUAAGAUCUUCCUCAUUUCUAAAGCUACUCUUGUGAUUCAAUUUAAGAUUUUGCCUCAAUUUAAAGGAAGAAGGAUAGGAGGCAGAAGAGAAUCCAGUCUUGCCCUUUCUGCUGUCUGUAAAAACACUCUUCUGCUUAACGUAGUUUCACAAUUCCUAUAAUAAUUCCGACAAUACACACACACACACACACACACACACCCAAAAAAAAAAAACCCUAAAUUCCAAUGGUGAGGUUGGUGGUAAACAUCUGUAAUUAAAGCACUCAGAAGGCUGAAGCAGGUCUAUCACUUCACCAACACCAUGGGCUACACAGUAAGAAACUCCUGAACUCCAUUAAAAACAAAUAAAACUAUGCUCCUUCAAUGUGAUCUAGAAGCUCUUCAAGAUUUAACCUGCUGUCUGCUCUUGGAAUUCAUAUUAUGUCACUAUUCGUUAAUAGUUUCAUAUCGCCAGGCAGUGGUGGUGCCUGCCUUUAAUUCCAGCACUCGGGAGGCAGAGACAGGCAGAUCUCUGUGAGUUUGAGGCCAACCUGGUCUGCAAGAGCUAGUUCCAGGACAGGCUCCAAAGCUACAGAGAAACCCUGUCUUUAAAAAAAAACGUUCUUACUUUACAACAUGUAAUUCACUAUCUCAACUCAUCAGCACAACAUUUACUUUAGGUGCUCUCUUAAGUCAAAGUGUUUUAGAAAGGUACUUAUGAAUCUACAAAUUUAAAGGUACUUAUUUCAUUACAUUAACUCACAGAAAACAUUUAUUUACAGCACAUAGCUAGAAAUAAGUACAAAUAUGAUAUAUAUGAUAUGCAUAUGAAAUACAAAUAUGUCUGUCUAGUUUUAUCAUUUUAUCAUUGUAAACACUGAACAGAUAAUGUGGCACAUGUUAUUUAAUAAAUAAUGCUUUGGGGUU